Molecule: long non-coding RNA, 982 nt
Filed under: Homo sapiens (human)
Lineage: Eukaryota; Metazoa; Chordata; Mammalia; Primates; Hominidae
Description: HSALNT0309074
Source: RNAcentral
GUGCCUACGGACACGUUUCGGCUCCAGUUCUCCCCUCUGGUUUGCCUCCAGCUCUUGCGGACAACAUCAGCCCUCUGGGGACUUGGACUGAUUCUCCAGUUAGCGCAUACCUGUCCCACUCCUGUCUGCAAGAUUUGGAGCCCUGUCUGUGCUUCCAGUUCAGACUUCACCAGCCCUGCAGGGAGGACAAAGGCCCCUCCAGCCACCUCCUUGCUCAAGCUGCUUUCUAGAUCUCGGCCACUGCCCUAGCAAGAUGCCAGCCCCACCUGAUGUUGAUGAAGCUGCCUGAGGACAUGUGCACAUGCUCAGCCAGGAUCUCCAGCAGCUUCACUCCUGCAGCCAGGCUCAGGGGCCUGGAGAUGGGAGAAGGCAGAGGAAGGAAAGUGGGGCAACCCUCUCAGUCACUUUCUUAAAACAGGCCACUCCAGGGGUACAGAGCAGCCUGCCAAUUCCCUGUCCCUGCACGUCUGGAUUUCUGCCCUCUGCUUCUGGCCAGGCAGGCCAGCCCAAAUCCUAGCAGACCAGAAAGCUUCCCAGGAUGCAGCCCUUACUUCUGAUCAGUGACGAUGUAGCCAUAUUCCUCUGCUGCUGGGCGGGCUGAGGGCUGUCCUGCCACCGUGGGCUGGCUCUGGCCCAGUGGGCUUUUCUUCUCUAGCAGGACAGGUGUCACAGGGGGUCUGGCAGCUUUGGGAGGCUCAGAGGAGACAGGGCUUGGCACCUGCUGGACUUCACUGGAGGGACCACUGCAGUGCUGGGUACAGAGAGGACACCAGAGCAUCUGAGACAAGUACAGCUAUUGGAGCCAGACCACCUGGGUUUGAAUCCUGCCUUUGCUACUGAUGAAUUAUGUAACCUUGGGCAAGUUGCUGAACCUCUCCAAGCCUCAAUUCCCUCAUCAAUAAAAUGGGGAUUUAUACCUCCUAGGAUUGUUAUUAUCAUUAAAAUAACACAUAUACAUAUCAAACGGUUAGAAUAGUGCCUG